Molecule: ribosomal RNA, 375 nt
Filed under: uncultured bacterium
Lineage: Bacteria
Description: bacterial SSU rRNA
Rfam family: Bacterial small subunit ribosomal RNA
Source: RNAcentral
GACGAACGCUGGCGGCGUGCUUAACACAUGCAAGUCGAGCGGUAAGGCCCUUUCGGGGGUACGACGAGCGGCGAACGGGUGAGUAACACGUGGGUGACCUGCCCUCAGCUCUGGGAUAAGCCUGGGAAACCGGGUCUAAUACCGGAUAUGACUCCAUGACGCAUGUUGUGGGGUGGAAAGCCUUGUGCGGCUGAGGAUGGGCCCGCGGCCUAUCAGCUUGUUGGUGGGGUGAUGGCCUACCAAGGCGACGACGGGUAGCCGGCCUGAGAGGGCGACCGGCCACACUGGGACUGAGACACGGCCCAGACUCCUACGGGAGGCAGCAGUGGGGAAUCUUGCGCAAUGGGCGAAAGCCUGACGCAGCGACGCCGCGUG